UUGAAGAAUUUGAAGACAUCAACUUGCAGACUUGAAGAAUUUGAAGACAUCAACUUGCAGACUUGAAGAAUUUGAAGACAUCAACU
RNAcentral lists this microRNA precursor (86 nucleotides) under Solanum tuberosum (potato). RNAcentral's name for it is "MIR8024 microRNA precursor family". It matches the Rfam family "MIR8024 microRNA precursor family". The record is from Rfam by way of RNAcentral. Lineage: Eukaryota; Viridiplantae; Streptophyta; Magnoliopsida; Solanales; Solanaceae.